AGAGUUUGAUCCUGGCUCAGGACGAACGCUGGCGGCGUGCCUAACACAUGCAAGUCGAGCGAUGAAAAUUGGAGCGUUCCCUUCGGGGAACAAUCUGAUUGGAUUAGCGGCGGACGGGUGAGUAACACGUGAGUAACCUGCCGUACACAUUGGGAUAGCCUCGGGAAACUGGGAUUAAUACCAAAUGAAACAUACAGAUAGCAUUAUCUAAAUGUCAAAGAUUUUAUCGGUGUACGAUGGACUCGCGUCUGAUUAGCUAGUUGGUAAGGUAACGGCUUACCAAGGCGAUGAUCAGUAGCCGGCCUGAGAGGGUGAUCGGCCACAUUGGGACUGAGACACGGCCCAAACUCCUACGGGAGGCAGCAGUGGGGAAUAUUGCACAAUGGAGGAAACUCUGAUGCAGCGACGCCGCGUGAGCGAAGAAGGGAUUCGUCUCGUAAAGCUCUGUCCUAUGGGAAGAUAAUGACGGUACCAUAGAAGAAAGCCCCGGCUAACUACGUGCCAGCAGCCGCGGUAAUACGUAGGGGGCUAGCGUUGUCCGGAAUCAUUGGGCGUAAAGGGUUCGUAGGCGGUAAUACAUGUCAGAUGUGAAAUCUUGUGGCUUAACCACAUCAAGCAUCUGAAACUGUAUAACUUGAGUGAAGGAGAGGUAAGUGGAAUUCCUAGUGUAGCGGUGAAAUGCGUAGAUAUUAGGAAGAAUACCAGUAGCGAAGGCGACUUACUGGCCUUUAACUGACGCUGAGGAACGAAAGCGUGGGUAGCAAACAGGAUUAGAUACCCUGGUAGUCCACGCCGUAAACGAUGAGUGCUAGGUGUCGGGUGUCAAAGCUCGGUGCCGCAGUUAACGCAAUAAGCACUCCGCCUGGGGAGUACGUACGC
This 879-nucleotide ribosomal RNA is filed under the name uncultured bacterium. RNAcentral describes it as "bacterial SSU rRNA". It matches the Rfam family "Bacterial small subunit ribosomal RNA", at positions 8 to 889 of the family's 1533-position model. The record is from RNAcentral.